GAUGAACGCUGGCGGCGUGCUUAACACAUGCAAGUCGAACGGAAAGGCCCAAGCUUGCUUGGGUACUCGAGUGGCGAACGGGUGAGUAACACGUGGGUGAUCUGCCCUGCACUUCGGGAUAAGCCUGGGAAACUGGGUCUAAUACCGGAUAGGACGAUGGUUUGGAUGCCAUUGUGGAAAGUUUUUUCGGUGUGGGAUGAGCUCGCGGCCUAUCAGCUUGUUGGUGGGGUAAUGGCCUACCAAGGCGUCGACGGGUAGCCGGCCUGAGAGGGUGUACGGCCACAUUGGGACUGUGAUACGGCCCAGACUCCUACGGGAGGCAGCAGUGGGGAAGAUUGCACAAUGGGCGCAAGCCUGAUGCAGCGACGCCGCGUGGGGGAUGACGGCCUUCGGGUUGUAAACUCCCUUCGCUAGGGACGAAGCGUUUUUGUGACGGUACCUGGAGAAGAAGCACCGGCUAACUACGUG
RNAcentral lists this ribosomal RNA (468 nucleotides) under uncultured bacterium. RNAcentral describes it as "partial 16S ribosomal RNA". It matches the Rfam family "Bacterial small subunit ribosomal RNA", at positions 28 to 507 of the family's 1533-position model. The record is from RNAcentral.